CCUGCCCCUAGAGGUGUUGUAGGUGUGAUUACUAUGUCACCUGUGUGCUGGUAGGUGGCAGAAGGGAGAGAAGCUAUGUCUACACUCAGUGUUCUGACCUGUGACCAUCCGAAUGGUUAGCAGCCUAACACU
Molecule: small nucleolar RNA, 132 nt
Organism: Meriones unguiculatus (Mongolian gerbil)
Lineage: Eukaryota; Metazoa; Chordata; Mammalia; Rodentia; Muridae
Source: Ensembl